AACGUAGGAGACAAACGUUAUCCGGAGUUACUGGGCGUAAAGGGCGUGCAGGCGGUCUGUUAAGUCUGGCGUGAAAGCUCUCGGCUAAACCGGGAGAGGUCGUUGGAUACUGACGGACUAGAGGACGGUAGAGGCGUGUGGAAUUCCGGGUGUAGUGGAGAAAUGCGUAGAGAUCCGGAGGAACACCAGUGGCGAAGGCGACACGCUGGGCCGUACCUGACGCUAAGACGCGACAGCAUGGGGAGCGAACAGG
Molecule: ribosomal RNA, 253 nt
Filed under: uncultured bacterium
Lineage: Bacteria
Description: partial 16S ribosomal RNA
Rfam family: Bacterial small subunit ribosomal RNA
Source: RNAcentral